AUGAAGUCGGAAUCGCUAGUAAUCGCGGAUCAGCAUGCCGCGGUGAAUACGUUCCCGGGCCUUGUACACACCGCCCGUCACACCAUGAGAGUUUGUAACACCCAAAGCCGGUGGGGUAACCUUUUGGAGCCAGCCGUCUAAGGUGGGACAGAUGAUUGGGGUGAAGUCGUAACAAGGUACC
This 181-nucleotide ribosomal RNA is filed under the name uncultured bacterium. RNAcentral's name for it is "partial 16S ribosomal RNA". It matches the Rfam family "Bacterial small subunit ribosomal RNA", at positions 1320 to 1500 of the family's 1533-position model. The record is from RNAcentral.